RNAcentral lists this unclassified non-coding RNA (245 nucleotides) under Setomelanomma holmii. Its description in RNAcentral is "partial internal transcribed spacer region". The stretch from base 1 to 46 matches the Rfam family "Eukaryotic small subunit ribosomal RNA", at positions 1786 to 1831 of the family's 1831-position model. Lineage: Eukaryota; Fungi; Ascomycota; Dothideomycetes; Pleosporales; Phaeosphaeriaceae. The record is from RNAcentral.
AAGUCGUAACAAGGUUUCCGUAGGUGAACCUGCGGAAGGAUCAUUACCUUUCCAUGCAGAAGGAUUGUGUAGGGCUUGCCCUCGCAAUGCUUCCUGUAUACCACCCUUGUCUUUUUGCGCACUCAUGUUUCCUCGGCAGGCUUGCUUGCCGGUUGGACAAAACGUAUAACCCUUUUUUAAUUUUCAAUCAGCGUCUGAAAUAAUUUUAAUAAUUACAACUUUCAACAACGGAUCUCUUGGUUCUG